GACGAACGCUGGCGGCGUGCUUAACACAUGCCAGUCGAACGGAAAGGCCCUGCGUUUGUGGGGUGCUCGAGUGGCGAACGGGUGAGUAACACGUGAGUAACCUGCCCUUGACUUUGGGAUAACUUCAGGAAACUGGGGCUAAUACCGGAUAGGAGCUCCUGCUGCAUGGUGGGGGUUGGAACGUUUCGGCGGUUGGGGAUGGACUCGCGGCUUAUCAGCUUGUUGGUGGGGUAGUGGCUUACCAAGGCUUUGACGGGUAGCCGGCCUGAGAGGGUGACCGGCCACAUUGGGACUGAGAUACGGCCCAGACUCCUACGGGAGGCAGCAGUGGGGAAUAUUGCACAAUGGGCGGAAGCCUGAUGCAGCAACGCCGCGUGCGGGAUGACGGCCUUCGGGUUGUAAACCGCUUUCGCCUGUGACGAAGCGUGAGUGACGGUAAUGGGUAAAGAAGCACCGGCUAACUACGUG
RNAcentral lists this ribosomal RNA (468 nucleotides) under uncultured bacterium. RNAcentral's name for it is "partial 16S ribosomal RNA". It matches the Rfam family "Bacterial small subunit ribosomal RNA", at positions 28 to 507 of the family's 1533-position model. The record is from RNAcentral.